CUUGUCGUGCGCGGUUCCACACUACGUUUUUCGACAACGGCACGGCACGGCACGUAAUACGUAGUUUUUAAUUAU
Aricia agestis (brown argus) is the source of this 75-nucleotide long non-coding RNA. RefSeq lists it as uncharacterized. The transcript has 3 exons. NCBI's taxonomy places the organism in Eukaryota, Metazoa, Arthropoda, Insecta, Lepidoptera, Lycaenidae. The record is from RefSeq and is a predicted model, not a curated record.